This 9486-nucleotide long non-coding RNA is filed under the name Linum usitatissimum (flax). Its description in RNAcentral is "long non-coding RNA (LUSI_LNC004133)". The record is from RNAcentral. Lineage: Eukaryota; Viridiplantae; Streptophyta; Magnoliopsida; Malpighiales; Linaceae.
CCCUAAUUAUGUUCUUCAUAACGACAACCUUCUGCUUCUUCCUCGGCGUGGCCGCAAUCCUCCUCCUAAUCGCAACCUUGGCCUUCCACCGCCACACCAAAUCCAGUCCGUCCGAGUACCUGAAGAAACUCCCCGAUUUCAGAUUCCCGAAGAGGACGAAAUCGGAAGAAGGGGAGGUCGAGUGCGUUGUUUGCCUCGACGGGAUUAAGCAAGGGCAAUGGUGCAGGAUGCUUUGCGGUUGUGGACACGUAUUCCAUCGCCGAUGCGUGGAUACUUGGCUGUCCAAGGUUCCCUCUUGUCCGAUUUGUCGCGCUAGGGUUCAACUAGAUUCAGGGAGUUGGGGUCAAGAAAGGAAGCCUUGUCUUAGUUGGAUUGGAAGAACAAGUUGAGGAUUGUUAGUCUUUUUUUUAUUGACAUAAUUUCCCCCCUUUUCUGUCUGUAUAUUACCCCCCUGUAGUUUGAAUCUUUUCAUAAAUGGAAUGGUUGGUUUCUGAAAUUGUGAUCAGAUUUCACGUUUGGAUUAGGUUGUGGAAUCGAAUAGUAUCUGACGAAUUGCAUGAUGAAUUCGUGUUUGUGAAAUUGUAUUAGAGAUGGAUCGUGGAAGAAUCAUGUUGAGUUUGUACGGAUAUGGUUUCUACCAUGAAGCUUUGAGUGGUUGCUUAGGGAAUGAUUGGUUUUGCUUAUUUUUAGCUGCAUAGUGAUUUCAAUGAGGAAAAAGAAGAAGAAGAAGAAGAGAUGUGUAAAGAUGUAGGAUUGGUUGCUCAGAAUUGAAAUGGAGUUCGCUGCGGAAUUGAAAUCGAGUUUGCUUGGAAGCUACGGUAUAAUAUGAGUUAGAAUUGGCGGAGGAGAACUGUCUGCCGAAGGUGAAAAGUGCUAUAGGACAUGAACCUGUGUAGUCUGAGUGUUUAGUGUUGAAGCGUUUGCCAGUUAAUCACUCGAGGACUGAAAGCAAUGUGAUAUGAUGGGAUUGUAAUGAAGUACCCCUAUUGGGAACUUUUCUGGGUUCUUGCUUGAUUUAUCUGUUAGCACACUCAAGAGAACAAGUUAUUUCUGUCAAUUCCAUCUUCUGUAGUAACUUAUUCUGGAUUUUGAACCGCGAUGCGUUUUCGAUCUUUCAACAAAAUGAGUGAACGGAUGUUUGGGUCUAUAGCAGAUGGGAGUCUUGUCUGAUGCUGCACAGCGCAGAAGUUUACCAGUUUUCCAUCUCUGCUGAAGAUGAACUCACAUCCCAAAGUUGGUCAAUAGCAUCAGAAUUGAAGGAUGCAAGUCGCCGCAGGUUGACGCAUGACCAUGAUGAAUUUCAAUGGAUCCAUACAAAAGAACAGGCUCUUGCAAGUGUUUAUUGUUUAAUCGAUAUGUCUGUAAUUUACUAUUUACCUAAAAUACAUAACUGGCACAUAACAUAAUAAUCCGCAGUUGGGAGGCCUUAGGCCUUUGGAGUGCUUGCGGAAUGAAUUUGGCCUUCCUUAUAAAAGUGGCGUGUGGUCUUUUAUUCGGCCGGAUGAGCUUUGGGCCGAAGUCCUGCUAUUUGCAACACCAAUGAAGGCUAUGUUAGCAACGGGCAACUGCUCCCGGAGUUCAUAUACGCAGCCUAGCGGGGAUCACAAAGUGAGCUUUUUUGGCGAUUUUAAUGGUUUACAGUUCCAAUUCUCGCCCGUCUCCAUUAGGACGAGUUGCUCUCCUUAUCGCCUCCUCUUGUUGUCCUCCUAAAUCUGCAGCACCUCAGCUUCAUCUCCCGUAACAUGCUCUCCGUAAGUGAGCAUUUUGUGUUGGUCCUCGACAUUAGCACCCAAGCACGCCUGGAGGUCCUGGAUAUUGCUAGGGGUGCCCGGUGCUUGUCCCUUCAUUGGUCUCGAGUUUACAUGUCUUCUACAGAUGGUAUUGAGUUUUUCUUGCACUCUCUCCACCAGAAACGGAUUACUAAAUCUAGCUCGGAGGUCAUCAGACCAUUGGUGCGUGAUCAGAUACGGUGGCAGGCGGAAGUGUGCUUCGCACUGUCGGUCAAGGUGGCCCAUAAUCCCACAGAUAUAGUAAAAAUCCUGAAACUUCUUGAUGAUUUUAAACAUACCAUAACAUUUGACACCUAAUUUGUUAAUCUUAAUGCCAUAAUAUCAAUUCCAACCAGAAGUUUCGACGGAAAUUGGUUCUAUUACGCUUAAUUCUGUAAAUUCAACUCUUGGACCUUCAUGGUCCAAUUUUAUGUCGUUUCUGGUGUUUUUAAUGAAUUUUCAGGUUGCGCAAUUAUAAAUGGACGAAUUACAAAUCCAACGAUACAAACCGGAGCUAAACAACAAAAAUUAAAGAUGAUCCUCCUCUUGGGACAAGUUCGCGGACAUCACUUGGAAGUUGAUCCUCCUCUUCGUGAGGAAGGAGCGACGACGCAGAGUUCAUACUCCCAUGGUGGGGGAGUCGAUACCAGUGUUGGGGCGCAGCGGACGAGAAUAGAGUAAAUAUAUUGCACUAAUAAACCACACACCGUAAAUAUUUCCUAGGUAAGUUGGAAGUGGCGGUAGUCCGCCACACUUAAAAUCACUAUGGAUGGGUGAUUACCACCGCAAUACCAUAAUGACGAUAAUUAAGCCAACCUCCUUAGACCAAUUUACUGUGGUAAUAUUAAUAAUGCAAUAUACAACGAAUAUUCUCGAAAUUGCCAAGCACAAAACAGUAAGUAAAUAACACCGGGAUUUACGUAGUUCCCCUCCAAUGCGGAGAGUACAUCUACGGCAGCAGCGACAGCUACGAGCACUUCUUCACUAUAACAAGGUAGCUACAAGGUGAUCCGAGCCGAUCCAAAAAUAGUGUCUCUCAAGUGUUUCCCAACCCCGAAACAACUACUCACUAUUUUAUCGCUCACAAGAAAGUAUUCCUACCACGGUAAAACAUUUACCGGGACUUUCUACCGCUCACCUAUCUACCCAAUUGAGAUAACUUAUCUCAAUUAUUAAACAAGUGAAAAUUGCUACACUACAACACUUAGAGAAGUGAGAAAGGAAGAAGAGAGGGAUGAUUGAAAUGGGAUGCACUAGCUUCCCUUUUAUACUAGAAAUGUAGGGAGACCAAUUGAAAGCAAUUGGUUGUGGCAUCCAAUUAGUUGAAUCCCCAACUAAUUUCCAUGUGCACUAAAUUGGAGGUGGGGGUUAAUAUUGGUGGGAAUUCAAUUAGUUGGUUAGAGAUCCAACUAAUUUUGUGGUGCUUUAAUAUUGGUGGUACAUAUUUUUGUUGCACAUCAAUUAUCCGGGACCAACAAUUCUCCCCCUCCCGGCUAAUUAAGACUCUCGGUCAUCCCUGCUGCUGAUCGACAAUACUCAAACUUCUCUCUUAGAAGACUCUUCGUGCACAUGUCAGAUCCAUUCUCAUCAGUAUGGAUCUUCUCGAGUUGUAGUUGCUUCGACUCCACCACAUCUCGAAUCCAAUGAUAUCGAACAUCGAUAUGUUUGGACCUAGAAUGAAACGUCGAAUUCUUCGCAAGGUGUAUGGCGCUCUGACUGUCACAGAACAACUGCGGUCGUUCCUGUUGGAACCCAAGUUCACUCAAGAACUUCUUCAUCCACAACAGCUCCUUGCUAGCUUCCGUUGCGGCAAUGAACUCAGCUUCAAUAGUGGAAAAAGCUACACACUUUUGUAGCCUUGACUGCCAAGAAACAGCUCCCCCUGAAAAUGUAAUCAGGUAUCCAGAAGUGGACCUCCGUGUAUCAACGUCACCUGCCAUGUCCGCAUCUGUGUAGCCGACAAGUACAGGAUUAGAAUCUCCAAAACAAAGGCAAAAUUUGGAGGUACCUCGAAGGUAUCUCAGAAUCCACUUCACAGCUGCCCAGUGUUCCUUUCCAGGAUUUGAAAGAAACCGACUGACAACUCCGACUGCGUGAGCAAUAUCCGGCCGUGUACACACCAUAGCGUACAUCAAACUUCCCCACCGCUGAAGCAUAUGGAAUACUUUUCAUCUCCGUCUUCUCUGCAUCAGUAGACGGGCACUGUUUGGUGCUAAGUUGAAAGUGAUUAGCAAGAGGACAACUAACCGCUUUUGCACCAUUCAUGCUGAAUUGUUGGAGUACUUUCUCAAUGUACUUCUCCUGCGACAACCAGAUCUUCUUGGCAACUCUAUCUCGUGCAAUCUUCAAGCCAAGAAUCUGCUUCGCGGGCCCCAAGUCUUUCAUAGCAAAAGACUUGCUCAACUCCUUCUUCAAGUUGUUGAUUCUGGAAACAUUCCGGCCAACAAUUAGCAUGUCGUCAACAUAGAGCAACAAGAUGAUGAAAUCAUCAUCACCAAACAUCUUCAUGAACACGCAAUGGUCUGAAGUAGUCUUCUUGUACCCUUGCUCCCCCAUAACAGACUCGAACUUCUUGUACCAUUGUCGUGGUGCCUGCUUCAAGCCGUACAAACUUUUGAUAAGUUUGCACACGAAAUCCUCUUUUCCCUUCUUCUUGAAGCCUUCCGGUUGCUCCAUAUAGAUAUCUUCCUCCAAAUCGCCAUGGAGGAAGGCAGUCUUCACGUCCAUCUGCUCAACUUCCAGGUUGAAACUUGACGCUAACCCCAGCACUGUACGAAUGGAUGUCAAUUUCACCACCGGUGAAAAUAUCUCAUCAAAGUCGAUGCCCUUCCUUUGACUGAAGCCUUUGACAACGAGCCGAGCUUUGAACCGUGGUUUACUAUUGUGUUCUUCAUGCUUGAUUUUGAACACCCACUUGUUCUUCAAAGCUCUCUUCCCCUUCGGCAACUUCACAAGCUCAAAUGUGUUGUUGUCGUAAAGGGACUUCAUCUCGUCCUCCAUUGCUUCCAUCCAUUUAUGCUUGUGUCCAUCCUUCAUAGCUUCCUCGAAGCUAUCUGGUUCUCCCCCAUCAGUGAAUAAGACAUAUUCAUUUGAUGAAUAUCUGGUAGAGGGUUGCACGACUCUUCCAGAUCUCGUUCGGGGCGGAGAACCUUCGGCGGCUGGCGGUUGAUAAUGAGAACCAUCAUCAUCAUUAGGAUCAUCAGGCUGAACAUCAAGGGGGGCUUCAGGUUCAGCUACCUCUGGAUGAAUUUCUCCAACAGCAGGUGUUGGAGGCUCUAACUUCUCGGGCAUUGUGCUAGCAUCAGUGUUAGGAGCAUCUCUCCCAACCUUCUGAAUGUCUUCGAUGGUCUCAUUCUCCAUGAACACAGCAUCACGACUCCUAAUGAGCUUCUUCUGGAUAGGGUCAAAGAAUCUGUAGCCAAAUUCAUCUUGACCAUAUCCAAUAAAAACACACGGUCGUGUCUUGGAAUCCAGUUUCGACCUCUCAUCCCUCGGAAUGUGAACAAAGGCCUUGCAACCAAACACUCGAAGAUGCUUGUACGAGACAUCUCUUCCCGACCAAAUCUUCUCGGGGGCUUCAAAAUCUAAUGGAACGCUAGGUGAAAGGUUCCAAACAUGCACUACGGCAAGUAGUGCUUCUCCCCAAAAAGAGUGCGGUAACUUCGAGUGGGAGAGUAAGCACCUGACUCUCUCCAUCAAGGUUUUGUUCAUCCGCUCCGCCACGCCAUUCAGUUGCGGAGUCUUAGGAGGUGUAAACUGAUGUCGGAUUCCCUUCUCUUUACAGUAGGCAUCGAAUGGCCCAAUGUACUCUCCACCAUUGUCUGUACGUAGACACUUCAGCUUCUGGCCAGUCUCCCUCUCCACCAAUGCAACAAAACGUUUGAAAACGUUUAGCACCUGAUCUUUCGUCUUCAGAACAUAUACCCAUGUCUUCCGCGAGUGAUCAUCAAUAAACGUAGCAAAGUAACGUGCGCCACCAAGGGAUUUGGAAUCCGCUUCACAAAGAUCUGAGUGAACCAAAUCUAGCACGUUCUUCGCUCUAGAAGGUGGAGAACUUCUGAAAGCAACUCGAUUUUGCUUUCCUGCCAAACAGUCGACGCAUCUCUCCAGGUGGACAUGAUCCAGUCCAGGUAUAACCUUCUUCUUUGCCAGCUUUACCAUGGACUUCUCGCUCAUGUGGCCAAGGCGUUUGUGCCACAACGCGACGUCGUCGACAAUCUCCGUUGAGUUUGCAACUUCUAGGGAGAUCUUGGCUUCUGUCACGUACAGUUUAGACUGCUUCUCGCCUCUUGCCACCACCAAUGCGCCUUUGGUGAGUUUCCAUUGACCGUUUUUGAAGGUAUGACAAUAACCUUCCCCGUCCAGCUUGUCCACAGAAAUCAGAUUUAGACGCAUGUCCGGGACAUGUCUAACAUCUCGCAGCACCAACUUCGCACCUUCCAUUGUCUCCAGGAAGACAUCUCCUUUUCCAACGACCUUGGAGAGGUUUCCAUUUCCCAUCCUUACCACACCGUAGUUGCCCGGUGAGUAAGAUGAGAAAAAUUCACGCCUUGACGAUACAUGGAUGGUGGCACCGCUGUCAACCACCCAAGUGGUCUCCUGGGUUGUCAGGUUGACAAAAUCUUCAUCAUAGACAAGCAUGAGCUCCUCAACAACAUUAGCAUUGUCACUGUCAGCACCUCUGUUUUGCCUAAGUUGUGGGCAAAACCUCCGGAUGUGUCCCUUCUGUUUGCAGUUGUGACAAGUGAUGUUUGCAUACUUGUUGGACUUCCCUCGGCUCUUCCCUCGCUUCUUUGAGCCUCUCGACUCACUCCUUCCUCUCCCAUCCACAGCUAGAACGUCUGACUGUGAUGAUGAGGAAGAGACACCUUGAGAUCUUCUUCUCAUCUCCUCGUUGAGAAUUCCGCUCUUGACAUCCUCCAUGGUGACAACACCAUCUAUGGCAGAGCUCGUGAUUGCAAUCUUCAAGGUUUCCCAUGAUUCUGCCAAAAUCAAUCCAAAUCUUUCAUCAACAGGAGAUCCUUCAUCUUGCUUCUCCAAAUAUGAAAGUUUGUACCGUUCAAACUAACCAUCUUGCUUGGCGUUGCCUCCAUAAUGAACCGUGCUCUGAUACCACUGUUGGGGCGCAGCGGACGAGAAUAGAGUAAAUAUAUUGCACUAAUAAACCACACACCGUAAAUAUUUCCCAGGCAAGUUGGAAGUGGCGGUAGUCCGCCACACUUAAAAUCACUAUGGAUGGGUGAUUACCACCGCAAUACCAUAAUGACGAUAAUUAAGCCAACCUCCUUAGACCAAUUUAUUGUGGUAAUAUUAAUAAUGCAAUAUACAACGAAUAUUCUCGAAAUUGCCAAGCACAAAACAGUAAGUAAAUAACACCGGGAUUUACGUAGUUCCCCUCCAAUGCGGAGAGUACAUCUACGGCAGCAGCGGCAGCUACGAGCACUUCUUCACUAUAACAAGGUAGCUACAAGGUGAUCUGAGCCGAUCCAAAAUAGUGUCUCUCAACUGUUUCCCAACCCCGAAACAACUACUCACUAUUUUAUCGCUCACAAGAAAGUAUUCCUACCACGGUAAAACAAUUAUCGGGGCUUUCUACCGCUCACCUAUCUACCCAAUUGAGAUAACUUAUCUCAAUUAUUAAACAAGUGAAAAUUGCUACACUACAAAAAAAAUUGCUACACUACAACACUUAGAGAAGUGAGAAAGGAAGAAGAGAGGGAUGAUUGAAAUGGGAUGCACUAGCUUCCCUUUUAUACUAGAAAUGUGGGGAGACCAAUUGAAAGCAAUUGGUUGUGGCAUCCAAUUAGGUGAAUCCCCAACUAAUUUCCAUGUGCACUAAAUUGGAGGUGGGGUUUAAUAUUGGUGGAAAUUCAAUUAGUUGGUUAGAGAUCCAACUAAUUUUGUGGUGCUUUAAUAUUGGUGAUACAUGUUUUAAUUGCACAUAAAUUAUUUGGGACCAACAACCAGUUGGGCAAGAUGCUUCUCCUCUUCCUCAUUGUCGUCGAGGGAGAGAUCCUUGACUUGUUGCUCCACGGUGGUUGCGGAAACAGUUGAUGGAGUUGCCAUCGGGUAGGAGUUCAUUACCAGCGGUUGGUGAUUUGUAGGCAGCAGCGGUCUUCGAGGGAGUAGACGGUUAUGUUUGGUUCUCAAACAGAGAAAACAACUAAACAACAACUUCUUAACUACUGGCUAGGGGGAAAGCGAGGUAUGGAGGUCAUACGCGUACGCAGAAAUUGGGGCUUUUGGAUCUACGGUUGCGGCAACAAGAACUCUAGUUUGUUAUCGCUAGGGUUGCAGCGGCGGUGGUAGCUUACAUCUCGAUGUUUCAGCUAGUUUCUCGUAAUUUUGAAAUGAUAAUUAAUUAUUUCAAAGGGUUAUUAAUAUAUUGUAAUUCUUUGUAAAAAUAAUUCUAUCUAAUUAUUUAUAAUGAUAAAAACUAAUAGAAAUAUAGAAACCCUAGUAAACUCUCGAAAUCCAAUAAGCAAAAUCUCGUUAAAAAUACGAAUAAUUAUGGCUGAUUUUGCAACUGUUGGUUGCUACAACUUGAAGCCUUGAAGAGUCUAGGAUUUGAUGGUAUUAUAGAGGUGAAGAUCAAACAAUUUAGCAACAAUUUCAUGAAGUAGAUUCUGGAUAUCUCCAUUUAACUUUUAGCACUUGGUGUUAGUACAAGCUUUGUUCUUGACAAUUUUUCAUAGUUUUAAUGAGCAUCACAAGACUACGUGAACCACAUCCUUGGUGUAUUUUGACGUUCUUUGUAUUUUUAGCUGGUGAAUGAUACAAUGGAGUAGAUUGAAAUGUGCCGCAUUUUAUGUAUGAGUUGAAGGGUAGAACAUGUACUAUUAGACAAUAGCAAAUCAAGCAUGGUUAGAGACCUUGGGUAAAUUUUUGUGUUUUGAGUUAAUUUUUAGCACAUUGGGCAAAAAAUUCAACAAAUUUUUAAUUUUGACAAUUUCAAAUUAAAUUUCAUCCAUCUGGAACCAUAAUACCAUAAAGCAGUUGUUCGAAUUGACUCACCGUUAUUUUCGUCACUACUAGCAGCGACCAUAGUACUAGUAGAGGUUCACACAACGAAUUUUUAAACAAGCAACCACCGGAGUGUACUAGUACACCCCAUUAAUAUGAAGCUGGAAAUGGAACCAAGUGUACUAGUUCACGGUAUGUUUUUGAAAUAUGGAAAACAAAACGUACUUAACACCUGAACAACAAAAUUUAAAGGAGCUAAAAUUACUAGGAAUGAGAAUUCUGUUUGAAAUAUUACCUGGACUGUCAAACUCUGACAUCGGAAGAGUUCAAAAUGUUCCACUUGGAGCCCACAGUACCCUAUUUUAAGUAAUCACUGAUUAGCUGAACUAUAACCCAGUCUACCAGAUUUAGUAACUUAUCUCAUGCAAGUUAAUUUUAGCAACUUUGUAGUUUUUAACUGUUUUACCUGUCCGGCUGUCCCCUUGCUUCAUAGUAACGAACAAACAACCUCCAAGGAGAAAUGUGAAACUAAUUAUUAACAAACAAAACAAAACAAAUCAAAAACACCACACUAAUGGCCGCCGACGGAACCAAAUCUCUCUCCGUCGACCUCGACCACCGCCACAUUACUCACCCAAUCAAAAUCCUCAGCGAGUCUUUACAAAUUAUCCUGAAAAGCAAACGCCUCUUUCUCUCCAUCACGCUGUUCCUCUCUUGCCCUCUGUCCUUCCUCCUCUUCUCCCUCAAUUUCUCC